AUCACCUGGGAAUCUUGUUAAAAUGCAGAUUCUGAAUCAACAGGGGUGAGUCCUGAUAUCCUGCAUUUCUAGCCAGUUCCCAUGUGACGAUAA
This 93-nucleotide microRNA precursor is filed under the name Loxodonta africana (African savanna elephant). Its description in RNAcentral is "mir-544 microRNA precursor family". It matches the Rfam family "mir-544 microRNA precursor family". Lineage: Eukaryota; Metazoa; Chordata; Mammalia; Proboscidea; Elephantidae. The record is from Rfam by way of RNAcentral.